Molecule: ribosomal RNA, 781 nt
Filed under: uncultured Halococcus sp.
Lineage: Archaea; Methanobacteriati; Methanobacteriota; Halobacteria; Halobacteriales; Halococcaceae
Description: bacterial SSU rRNA
Rfam family: Archaeal small subunit ribosomal RNA
Source: RNAcentral
AUGCUCAGUGACACGUGGCCAAACUGCCCUGUGGAGGAGGAUACCCUCGGGAAACUGAGGCUAAUACACCAUAGGUGCCGACGGCUGGAAUGCCCCGGCACCGAAACGCUCCGGCGCCACAGGAUGUGGCUGCGGCCGAUUAGGUAGACGGUGGGGUAACGGCCCACCGUGCCGAUAAUCGGUACGGGUUGUGAGAGCAAGAACCCGGAGAUGGAAUCUGAGACACGAUUCCAGGCCCUACGGGGCGCAGCAGGCGCGAAACCUUUACACUGUGCGAGAGCGCGAUAAGGGGAUCCCGAGUGCCCGCGCCUAGCGUGGGCUUUUCUGAACCGUAAAAUGGUUCAGGAAUAAGGGCUGGGUAAGACCGGUGCCAGCCGCCGCGGUAAUACCGGCAGCUCGAGUGAUGGCCGAUUUUAUUGGGCCUAAAGCGUCCGUAGCUCGCCGUGAAAGUCCAUCGGGAAAUCCACCCGCUCAACGGGUGGACGUCCGGUGGAAACUCCACGGCUUGGGACCGAAGGACCCGAGGGGUACGUCGGGGGUAGGAGUGAAAUCCUGAGAUCCUCGACGGACCACCGGUGGCGAAAGCGCCUCGGGAAAGCGGAUCCGACAGUCAGGGACGAAAGCUUGGGUCUCGAACCGGAUUAGAUACCCGGGUAGUCCAAGCCGUAAACGAUGCUCGCUAGGUGUGGCGUAGGCUACGAGCCUGCGCUGUGCCAAAGGGAAGCCGCGAAGCGAGCCGCCUGGGAAGUACGUCCGCAAGGAUGAAACUUAAAGGAAUUGG